AUUUGAUAGUAGAAUUAAACCCGGCACGUCGAAGACAAUUUAUAUAAAUACAUGAUCUAUCUCUACCCGUCUAAGUUUUUAGAUAAAUGUUAAAAAGCUUCAGAAUUCACUGAAAUGUAAAUAAGAGUGAUUGUAAUGUGCGAGUUUUGGGUAAAUGUUCUCGUACACAAUAAUUCCACAAACAAAAUUUACAACAUGAACAAAAGAUGUACACAAUAAUUGCACGAACAAAAUUUACAACAUGAACAAGAGAUGCUGUUGACACAUAAAAAUUCAGCCCAAGUCGAACAGUCCAAGGAGUAAAGCCCAAUUGGAGAAUCCCCAAAACAGACAGCCCAAAGAAUGAAGUUCAAUCAAACGAGUCAAGGUGAAGGCCCAAACAAGAGGCCCAAGAAUGCGGUAAUGCCAUCGCCCAAGUUUGCAAGUCGCUCAAAAUCUGAACGAACGGGUGUCAUACGGUCGCCCAGAGCUGUUAUUCUACUCUCGCCCAAACCUUCAAGUCGCCUAAGGUGUCAACAAACAUAACGCAUCGUAAUUAUCAAGGAAUGCAGUUAUCAAGGCAGUUGUUAAAGCAGCCUUAUCACGUUCCACAACUCAAGGAAGUCAAUCGAAGGCAGUUGGACGAUGAAAGAUAAUGACAGCAGUUAAAAGGCGAUUUCAUGACAAAAUGGCCACUACAAAGAAAGUGGGUAGUUAUAGGACGAUCAAGCAGUUUUCAGAGUAGUUAAUCACAAAGAGAUCGUCUAUGAGGUAUAAAAGGGAGAAAAGGCGUAGAAGCAAAGGACCGAAUCCAAAACUCUCGAACAAGAGAAUAUGUAAUUUUCAUUUCUUUAGCUUUUAGACUUAAAUACUUUCCUUUCUGUAACUCGUGUGCUUGCGCCCCUUGGAGGCACGUUGUUUUUCGUUUCCAAUUGUAAAGUUCAUCGCCAAUAAAAGAACACCCCUUUUUGGGACUUUGUCUCAAGAGGUUUC
This 972-nucleotide long non-coding RNA is filed under the name Olea europaea subsp. europaea. Lineage: Eukaryota; Viridiplantae; Streptophyta; Magnoliopsida; Lamiales; Oleaceae. The record is from RNAcentral.